CGGGACACGUGGUAUCCUGUCUGAAUAUGGGGGGACCAUCCUCCAAGGCUAAAUACUCCUGACUGACCGAUAGUGAACCAGUACCGUGAGGGAAAGGCGAAAAGAACCCCGGCGAGGGGAGUGAAAAAGAACCUGAAACCGUGUACGUACAAGCAGUGGGAGCACGCUUAGGCGUGUGACUGCGUACCUUUUGUAUAAUGGGUCAGCGACUUAUAUUCUGUAGCAAGGUUAACCGAAUAGGGGAGCCGAAGGGAAACCGAGUCUUAACUGGGCGUUAAGUUGCAGGGUAUAGACCCGAAACCCGGUGAUCUAGCCAUGGGCAGGUUGAAGGUUGGGUAACACUAACUGGAGGACCGAACCGACUAAUGUUGAAAAAUUAGCGGAUGACUUGUGGCUGGGGGUGAAAGGCCAAUCAAACCGGGAGAUAGCUGGUUCUCCCCGAAAGCUAUUUAGGUAGCGCCUCGUGAAUUCAUCUCCGGGGGUAGAGCACUGUUUCGGCAAGGGGGUCAUCCCGACUUACCAACCCGAUGCAAACUGCGAAUACCGGAGAAUGUUAUCACGGGAGACACACGGCGGGUGCUAACGUCCGUCGUGAAGAGGGAAACAACCCAGACCGCCAGCUAAGGUCCCAAAGUCAUGGUUAAGUGGGAAACGAUGUGGGAAGGCCCAGACAGCCAGGAUGUUGGCUUAGAAGCAGCCAUCAUUUAAAGAAAGCGUAAUAGCUCACUGGUCGAGUCGGCCUGCGCGGAAGAUGUAACGGGGCUAAACCAUGCACCGAAGCUGCGGCAGCGACGCUGAUGCGUUGUUGGGUAGGGGAGCGUUCUGUAAGCCUGUGAAGGUGUGCUGUGAGGCAUGCUGGAGGUAUCAGAAGUGCGAAUGCUGACAUAAGUAACGAUAAAGCGGGUGAAAAGCCCGCUCGCCGGAAGACCAAGGGUUCCUGUCCAACGUUAAUCGGGGCAGGGUGAGUCGACCCCUAAGGCGAGGCCGAAAGGCGUAGUCGAUGGGAAACAGGUUAAUAUUCCUGUACUUGGUGUUACUGCGAAGGGGGGACGGAGAAGGCUAUGUUGGCCGGGCGACGGUUGUCCCGGUUUAAGCGUGUAGGCUGGUUUUCCAGGCAAAUCCGGAAAAUCAAGGCUGAGGCGUGAUGACGAGGCACUACGGUGCUGAAGCAACAAAUGCCCUGCUUCCAGGAAAAGCCUCUAAGCAUCAGGUAACAUCAAAUCGUACCCCAAACCGACACAGGUGGUCAGGUAGAGAAUACCAAGGCGCUUGAGAGAACUCGGGUGAAGGAACUAGGCAAAAUGGUGCCGUAACUUCGGGAGAAGGCACGCUGAUAUGUAGGUGAAGCGACUUGCUCGUGGAGCUGAAAUCAGUCGAAGAUACCAGCUGGCUGCAACUGUUUAUUAAAAACACAGCACUGUGCAAACACGAAAGUGGACGUAUACGGUGUGACGCCUGCCCGGUGCCGGAAGGUUAAUUGAUGGGGUCAGCGCAAGCGAAGCUCUUGAUCGAAGCCCCGGUAAACGGCGGCCGUAACUAUAACGGUCCUAAGGUAGCGAAAUUCCUUGUCGGGUAAGUUCCGACCUGCACGAAUGGCGUAAUGAUGGCCAGGCUGUCUCCACCCGAGACUCAGUGAAAUUGAACUCGCUGUGAAGAUGCAGUGUACCCGCGGCAAGACGGAAAGACCCCGUGAACCUUUACUAUAGCUUGACACUGAACAUUGAGCCUUGAUGUGUAGGAUAGGUGGGAGGCUUUGAAGUGUGGACGCCAGUCUGCAUGGAGCCGGCCUUGAAAUACCACCCUUUAAUGUUUGAUGUUCUAACGUUGACCCGUGAUCCGGGUUGCGGACAGUGUCUGGUGGGUAGUUUGACUGGGGCGGUCUCCUCCUAAAGAGUAACGGAGGAGCACGAAGGUUGGCUAAUCCUGGUCGGACAUCAGGAGGUUAGUGCAAUGGCAUAAGCCAGCUUGACUGCGAGCGUGACGGCGCGAGCAGGUGCGAAAGCAGGUCAUAGUGAUCCGGUGGUUCUGAAUGGAAGGGCCAUCGCUCAACGGAUAAAAGGUACUCCGGGGAUAACA
RNAcentral lists this ribosomal RNA (2076 nucleotides) under Escherichia coli. Its description in RNAcentral is "partial 23S ribosomal RNA". It matches the Rfam family "Bacterial large subunit ribosomal RNA", at positions 418 to 2479 of the family's 2925-position model. Lineage: Bacteria; Pseudomonadati; Pseudomonadota; Gammaproteobacteria; Enterobacterales; Enterobacteriaceae. The record is from RNAcentral.